GACGAACGCUGGCGGCGUGCUUAACACAUGCAAGUCGAACGGAAAGGCCCUGCUUGCAGGGUACUCGAGUGGCGAACGGGUGAGUAACACGUGGGUGAUCUGCCCUGCACUUCGGGAUAAGCCUGGGAAACUGGGUCUAAUACCGGAUAGGAGCCAUUUUUAGUGUGAUGGUUGGAAAGUUUUUUCGGUGUAGGAUGAGCUCGCGGCCUAUCAGCUUGUUGGUGGGGUAAUGGCCUACCAAGGCGGCGACGGGUAGCCGGCCUGAGAGGGUGGACGGCCACAUUGGGACUGAGAUACGGCCCAGACUCCUACGGGAGGCAGCAGUGGGGAAUAUUGCACAAUGGGCGCAAGCCUGAUGCAGCGACGCCGCGUGGGGGAUGACGGCCUUCGGGUUGGAAACUCCUUUCGCUAGGGACGAAGCUUUUUGUGGCGGUACCUAGAUAAGAAGCACCGGCUAACUACGUG
This 465-nucleotide ribosomal RNA is filed under the name uncultured bacterium. RNAcentral's name for it is "partial 16S ribosomal RNA". It matches the Rfam family "Bacterial small subunit ribosomal RNA", at positions 28 to 507 of the family's 1533-position model. The record is from RNAcentral.